CCUGCGGGGCGCAGCAGUGAGGAAUAUUGGUCAAUGGGCGGGAGCCUGAACCAGCCAAGUCGCGUGAGGGAAGACGGUCCUAUGGAUUGUAAACCUCUUUAGGCGGGGAGCAAUGCCGGGCACGCGUGCCCGGAGGGAGAGUACCCGCAGAAUAAGCAUCGGCUAACUCCGUGCCAGCAGCCGCGGUAAUACGGAGGAUGCGAGCGUUAUCCGGAUUUAUUGGGUUUAAAGGGUGCGUAGGCGGAUUUUUAAGUCAGCGGUAAAAUGUCCGGGCUCAACCCGGGCCGGCCGUUGAAACUGGGGAUCUUGAGUGGGCGAGAAGUAGGCGGAAUGCGUGGUGUAGCGGUGAAAUGCAUAGAUAUCACGCAGAACUCCGAUUGCGAAGGCAGCCUACUAAACUGCCACUGACAUUGAUGCUCGAAAGUGUGGGUAUCAAACAGGAUUAGAUACCCCAGUAGUC
RNAcentral lists this ribosomal RNA (460 nucleotides) under uncultured bacterium. RNAcentral describes it as "partial 16S ribosomal RNA". It matches the Rfam family "Bacterial small subunit ribosomal RNA", at positions 338 to 795 of the family's 1533-position model. The record is from RNAcentral.